Manis pentadactyla (Chinese pangolin) is the source of this 1346-nucleotide long non-coding RNA. RefSeq lists it as uncharacterized. Lineage: Eukaryota; Metazoa; Chordata; Mammalia; Pholidota; Manidae. The record is from RefSeq and is a predicted model, not a curated record. The transcript is spliced from 3 exons.
CCUAUUGCCUGCCUCCUGGACCUGUCAAGCUUGAGCAGCCUCUCAUCAUGGACUGAGAGCCGGCCUCUGAGGCUGAGAUCAGCCUCACCUGCUCUGCUGUCCCUCUCACAUGGUGGGGAGGUGGCAGAGUAGGACAGUGUGGGGAGCGGAGCUAAAGCCUUCCCUUCUCAUCCCACUGGUCUGCAGAGGAGGAGACCAGGGUGAGGCUGAAAUAAAACAGCAUGUGUAUCUAGUCAGCUCUGUCACCAUCUACUGACCCCCUGGCAAUUUCCAUAUGCCACUGAUCACAGGGCAGCAUUGAGAAGGCUGACAGGAUGUGCCAGGCUGCGGGCUGCAGUGCCGAGAAGGAGAAGACGGAGGUGGUGGUGAUGUCAACCAAGGAAUCAAGCAAGCCAAGGAGCUGAUAACAUCGCCCAGCAAGGCUCGCUGUGGGCAAGUUCUGCCAGGGAGGAAACUGGGCACAGAGAAGUUAAGUGACUUUCCUAAGGUCAUACCGAGACAACAUUCAACCCAAGAGGCCCAGUUCUGGAGGCCACACUGCCCUCAAAGCAGGGAUUCCCAGAGCAGCCCAAAGCAGAGAAAACUCUGGGCCAGAGGCUUGGGCCUGGAGGUGGCAGACACCUGGGAAGCUGUGGCAGGAACCAUCCAGCCAGGCAGCCAGGCCGCCAGCCAGUGAGUGCACGAGGGACCACAGGGGCAGACAAGCUCUACCCCACCUCAGGCUGUAGGACCCCAUCUACAGGGAUGUGGGUAUGAUGGGAGAAGGCAAGAGGGCAAUACUACCCUCAAAGGAAAGAACUGGCCACCAUGCCGGGUGGCAGGAAACCCUUGAGGAGGUGGCUCAGGCUCAGGGAGGGAGCCCCAAGCUGCUUCCUCUGUCCCCCUCCACAGCACAGCCUGGUACAGAUGGGUGCCCAGUUCCUGUGCUGAGGCCUACAAGCAGUCAGCCUGGCUGACUGGCUCUCCAUCUGUCUGUGUGUACAUGGGUGUGCAUGUGUGAAGGAAGAGGAGAAGGGGCCUCUGCAAUGUGCCUGCUUGCAGCGGAUCCUGUCCCCCACCCCCACCUGCCACAGCCACAGAGAACAGGACACACUGACUCUAAUCUGCACCUCUGGAGCUUGUAAACCACAGCCACGUCAGCAGAGCGUGCAUAGGGGCCGGGUGGGUGGCGGGGCCAUGGUGCAGGGUGCACAAGUGUACGCCAACAUGCGUGUGUAGGGCCAGCAAGGGGGUGCAGCCCCUGCCACCAGGAGCCCUCCAUGGGGAGGCACAGGGCCCAGGCCCUCUGACCACAGGCCCAGAGGUCUAGCCCCUCCAAGGGCAGUUCUUCCUCAGGUUCUCUCUUC